UGUAAGGUCCCCUUGCAAGUGAGAGCUGUGGUGUUCUUUUUGGUGCGCUUCCAAGUUACCAACGUUGCUUGCCACUCUGCCAACGUAGGAUAGUAUUGCAGCGGUUCAGGCUACACCCAGGUUGAAGUUGUUAGUGUCGAGUACAACGCGUAUUUGUAGGACUGGUCACGUGUUUAGGUAGAUUGUGGUAUCUUGAAUAAUUGCGACGGAAACAAAGGUAAGAGAGAUCUCUAGCGUAAGGAAGAAAGAGGUCCUUCGCGAUGAAAUUAGUGCUCGUGUUCUUUCUUUAACUUGUCCGCAGGAUACUACUUACUGUAUCAUUUGUUUAAAUAAAGUCACCGCUUGCCCCGGCUUUUCUCCCAACUUCGAGAGAACUUUUAUGCCUCGGCAAGUGUUCUAUACCGCGUAAAA
Molecule: long non-coding RNA, 411 nt
Filed under: Polistes fuscatus (common paper wasp)
Lineage: Eukaryota; Metazoa; Arthropoda; Insecta; Hymenoptera; Vespidae
Description: uncharacterized LOC122513493, transcript variant X1
Source: RNAcentral